This 538-nucleotide ribosomal RNA is filed under the name uncultured bacterium. RNAcentral describes it as "bacterial SSU rRNA". It matches the Rfam family "Bacterial small subunit ribosomal RNA", at positions 777 to 1314 of the family's 1533-position model. The record is from RNAcentral.
AAUAGAUACCCCGGUAGUCCACGCCGUAAACGAUGAGUGCUAGGUGUUAGGGGGUUUCCGCCCCUUAGUGCUGCAGCUAACGCAUUAAGCACUCCGCCUGGGGAGUACGGUCGCAAGACUGAAACUCAAAGGAAUUGACGGGGGCCCGCACAAGCGGUGGAGCAUGUGGUUUAAUUCGAAGCAACGCGAAGAACCUUACCAGGUCUUGACAUCCCGCUGACCGCCAUGGAGACAUGGCUUUCCCUUCGGGGACAGCGGUGACAGGUGGUGCAUGGUUGUCGUCAGCUCGUGUCGUGAGAUGUUGGGUUAAGUCCCGCAACGAGCGCAACCCUUGUCCUUAGUUGCCAUCAUUCAGUUGGGCACUCUAAGGAGACUGCCGUACAAAUACGGAGGAAGGUGGGGAUGACGUCAAAUCAUCAUGCCCCUUAUGACCUGGGCUACACACGUGCUACAAUGGGUGGUACAAAGGGCGGCAAACCCGCGAGGGGGAGCGAAUCCCAAAAAGCCACUCUCAGUUCGGAUUGCAGGCUGCAACUCG